Molecule: ribosomal RNA, 253 nt
Filed under: uncultured bacterium
Lineage: Bacteria
Description: partial 16S ribosomal RNA
Rfam family: Bacterial small subunit ribosomal RNA
Source: RNAcentral
UACAGGGGGGGCAAGCGUUGUUCGGAAUUACUGGGCGUAAAGGGUUCGUAGGCGGCCAACUAAGUCACACGUGAAAUCCCCAGGCUUAACCUGGGAACUGCGUGUGAUACUGGAUGGCUUGAAUCCGGGAGAGGAAUGCGGAAUUCCAGGUGUAGCGGUGAAAUGCGUAGAUAUCUGGAGGAACACCGGUGGCGAAGGCGGCAUCCUGGACCGGUAUUGACGCUGAUGAACGAAAGCCAGGGGAGCAAACGGG